UACGGAGGGUGCGAGCGUUAUCCGGAUUUACUGGGUUUAAAGGGUGCGUAGGCGGACUGGUAAGUCAGAUGUGAAAGCUUACGGCUUAACCUUGAAAUUGCAGUUGAUACUGUUGAUCUUGAAUAAGCAUGAGGUGAGCGGAAUUUGUCAUGUAGCGGUGAAAUGCUUAGAUAUCACAAAGAACACCAAUUGCGAAGGCAGCUCACUGGG
This 210-nucleotide ribosomal RNA is filed under the name uncultured bacterium. Its description in RNAcentral is "partial 16S ribosomal RNA". It matches the Rfam family "Bacterial small subunit ribosomal RNA", at positions 524 to 733 of the family's 1533-position model. The record is from RNAcentral.